AUGCUCGUGGAUGCCCGUGGCGAGAUGCCUGGCGGCGCCCCUCCAGAGUCCUCGCUCCCCACUGAUGAGUGUCUGAUGGAUGCCCGCAAGCAGACUGAAGACGAGAUCGAAAGUAAAACCGAGGCCUCCUUGAAAGAAGGGUUAGAUCAUAUGAAGAAGAGUAGAGAUUUAACAAGAGAUUGCUUGAACAGUGUGCCACACCCAGGUACAAAUAUUGAAGAUGAAGAAGGGAAGCCUGGGAAUGAUAGGAAUGAAGAAGGGAGACAUCAGUGUGUGGAAGAUACUGAUUUAGAUGAGAGAGGCUAUGAUGUCGAGAUCACCGACACUGAAGCAUCAGACGAUUUGCUGUAUGAAGAAGUUCUGACGGUGCUGACUAAAAGUGCUCAAAGGAAAGAACAUCGGAAAGCUGUUUUGGAAUGA
Molecule: ribosomal RNA, 420 nt
Filed under: Triticum aestivum (bread wheat)
Lineage: Eukaryota; Viridiplantae; Streptophyta; Magnoliopsida; Poales; Poaceae
Description: partial small subunit ribosomal RNA
Source: RNAcentral